Molecule: ribosomal RNA, 1011 nt
Filed under: Glyphoglossus yunnanensis (Yunnan squat frog)
Lineage: Eukaryota; Metazoa; Chordata; Amphibia; Anura; Microhylidae
Description: partial large subunit ribosomal RNA
Rfam family: Bacterial large subunit ribosomal RNA
Source: RNAcentral
CAGGAAAAGGAUUUAAGUCCUACCUUAAGUUUCUUCGUAACUCUAAUUACUUCACAAAACUUAAGAGCUAUUCAAAUAAGGUACAGCCUAUUUGAAACAGGAUACAACCUACAACAUUGGGUAAUGAUUUCUGCUUCAUAAUUAAGUGGGCCUAAGAGCAGCCACCUUUAAAAAAGCGUUAAAGCUUUAUUAUACUAGCACAAUAAUUACAUUAAUCCCCCAAAACCCUUAUCCCAUACUGAGUGACUUCAUAAUAUUAUGAAAAACCAUAUGCUAGAACUAGUAACAAGAAGAAGACCUUCUCCAAAAUGUACGUAUAGGCCAAAAUGAACAACUCAUUGGCAUUUACCGCUUAUGAACUAACAGUAGUAACUUAACAAGAAAACUCUACUAUCCAUAACGUUAACCUUACACUAGCGCAUUCCUGGAAAGAUUAAAAGGAAGGGAAGGAACUCGGCAAAUAAUAACCUCGCCUGUUUACCAAAAACAUCGCCUCCUGAAUAGUUAUAGGAGGUCCAGCCUGCCCAGUGACAAAGUUAAACGGCCGCGGUACCCUAACCGUGCAAAGGUAGCGCAAUCACUUGUUCUUUAAAUGAGGACUAGUAUGAAUGGCAUCACGAGGGUUAUACUGUCUCCCCCACCUAAUCAGUGAAACUGAUCUUCCCGUGAAGAAGCGGGAAUAGAAUUAUAAGACGAGAAGACCCCAUGGAGCUUUAAACUCAACAUCAACUGCCCUCUAAAUAACUUAUUAACCACGCAGAUCUGACAGUUAGUUUUCGGUUGGGGUGACCGCGGAGUAAAACAAAACCUCCACGAUGAAAGGAAUUAACCUCCUAAUCUAAGAGCUACAGCUCUAAGAAUCAACAAAUUGACAAAACUUGAUCCAAAUACUUUGAUCAACGAACCAAGUUACCCUGGGGAUAACAGCGCAAUCCAUUUCAAGAGCUCAUAUCGACAAAUGGGUUUACGACCUCGAUGUUGGAUCAGGGUAUCCCAGUGGCGCAGCCGCUA